CCAACAGGGAUUGCCCUAGUAACGGCGAGUGAAGCGGCAACAGCUCAAAUUUGAAAUCUGGCUCUUUUAGAGUCCGAGUUGUAAUUUGCAGAGGGCGCUUUGGCUUUGGCAGCGGUCCAAGUUCCUUGGAACAGGACGUCACAGAGGGUGAGAAUCCCGUACGUGGUCGCUGGCUAUUGCCGUGUAAAGCCCCUUCGACGAGUCGAGUUGUUUGGGAAUGCAGCUCUAAAUGGGAGGUACAUUUCUUCUAAAGCUAAAUAUUGGCCAGAGACCGAUAGCGCACAAGUAGAGUGAUCGAAAGAUGAAAAGCACUUUGGAAAGAGAGUCAAACAGCACGUGAAAUUGUUGAAAGGGAAGCGCUUGCAGCCAGACUUGCUUACAGUUGCUCAUCCGGGUUUUUACCCGGUGCACUCUUCUGUAGGCAGGCCAGCAUCAGUUUGGGCGGUAGGAUAAAGGUCUCUGUCACGUACCUCCUUUCGGGGAGGCCUUAUAGGGGAGACGACAUACUACCAGCCUGGACUGAGGUCCGCGCAUCUGCUAGGAUGCUGGCGUAAUGGCUGUAAGCGGCCCGUCUUGAAACACGGACCAAGGAGUCUAACAUCUAUGCGAGUGUUUGGGUGUCAAGCCCGAGCGCGUAAUGAAAGUGAACGGAGGUGGGAACCCGCAAGGGUGCACCAUCGACCGAUCCUGAUGUCUUCGGAAGGAUUUGAGUAAGAGCAUGGCUGUUGGGACCCGAAAGAUGGUGAACUAUGCUUGAAUAGGGUGAAGCCAGAGGAAACUCUGGUGGAGGCUCGCAGCGGUUCUGACGUGCAAAUCGAUCGUCAAAUUUGGGCAUAGGGGCGAAAGACUAAU
Molecule: ribosomal RNA, 852 nt
Filed under: Alternaria arborescens
Lineage: Eukaryota; Fungi; Ascomycota; Dothideomycetes; Pleosporales; Pleosporaceae
Description: partial large subunit ribosomal RNA
Rfam family: Eukaryotic large subunit ribosomal RNA
Source: RNAcentral